Molecule: ribosomal RNA, 445 nt
Filed under: uncultured bacterium
Lineage: Bacteria
Description: bacterial SSU rRNA
Rfam family: Bacterial small subunit ribosomal RNA
Source: RNAcentral
CCAGACUCCUACGGGAGGCAGCAGUGGGGAAUAUUGCACAAUGGGGGAAACCCUGAUGCAGUGACGCCGCGUGAGUGAGGAAGUAUUUCGGUAUGUAAAGCUCUAUCAGCAGGGAAGAAAAUGACGGUACCUGACUAAGAAGCCCCGGCUAACUACGUGCCAGCAGCCGCGGUAAUACGUAGGGGGCAAGCGUUAUCCGGAUUUACUGGGUGUGAAGGGAGCGUAGACGGACUUGCAAGUCUGAUGUGAAAUCCCAAGGCUCAACCCUGGAACUGCAUUUGAAACUGUUGGUCUUGAGUAUCGGAGAGGCAGGCGGAAUUCCUAGUGUAGCGGUGAAAUGCGUAGAUAUUAGGAGGAACACCAGUGGCGAAGGCGACUUUCUGGACUGUACCUGACGCUGAGGCGCGAAAGCGUGGGUAGCGAACGGGAUUAGAUACCCGUGUAU